RNAcentral lists this ribosomal RNA (462 nucleotides) under uncultured Planctomycetaceae bacterium. Its description in RNAcentral is "bacterial SSU rRNA". It matches the Rfam family "Bacterial small subunit ribosomal RNA", at positions 338 to 795 of the family's 1533-position model. Lineage: Bacteria; Pseudomonadati; Planctomycetota; Planctomycetia; Planctomycetales; Planctomycetaceae. The record is from RNAcentral.
CCUACGGGGGGCUGCAGUCGAGAAUCUUCGGCAAUGGGGGAAACCCUGACCGAGCGACGCCGCGUGUGAGAUGAAGGCCUUCGGGUUGUAAAUCACUGUCAGUGGGGAGGAAAUGCAGAUGGGUUCUCCCAUUUGUUUGACCUAUCCGCAGAGGAAGGACGGGCUAAGUUCGUGCCAGCAGCCGCGGUAAGACGAACCGUCCAAACGUUAUUCGGAAUCACUGGGCUUAAAGGGUGCGUAGGCGGUCCGGGAAGUUGGGUGUGAAAGCCCACAGCUCAACUGUGGAACAGCGUCCAAAACUGCCGGACUUGAGGGAGACAUAGGUGAGCGGAACCUAGGGUGGAGCGGUGAAAUGCGUUGAGAUCCUAGGGAACACCAGUAGCGAAAGCGGCUCACUGGGUCUCUUCUGACGCUGAUGCACGAAAGCUAGGGGAGCGAAGAGGAUUAGAUACCCGAGUAGUC